GAUGUACACUUUCCUUCUCAGCUUUGUCCCCCAUAUGAUGUCACAGCCCCCUGGUUCCACUUGCUGUAUGGGUUCUUGUUUCCCAAGAUGACAGCCAUCAAAGGAUGGCUGGGCAGCUGCUCAGAUCUCCCUGCCAUUGGGAGCUAGAGCCUUGUGUGCGUUAAAGCUUUCCUGCUCCUCAGUAGUUCAGAUAGCUUUGUGUCUGGCAGCAAGUGCAAUAAAACACUUGUAAAUACCCCAGAAUGAGGAUCAUUACAGAUGGCACUGAUAUGCACCAGGCUCACGUGGAAGUUCUUGUAUCACUGCAUGAAGGAAAAUGAAGAAGAUAGGAAUGAUAAGCUUGAAGUUUUCCUGAGCCUAUGUGACAGGCUCUGAAGCCAGCUGCUUGUGUGAACUGGUUAAAAGAAAACCACCACCAACAAAACUCCAUGUGCAGAUGAGCCAAACCUGUGAAGAAAAUCAGCAUCAGUGCUUACAUAACCUAACAUAUGCCCAGGGAUGUAAAUGCUGGUUGAAAUACUAUGAGUGCGUGUUUCCCUUUGGUGUGAAGGCCAAGAAGAUUGCUGAUCAGUCACUU
RNAcentral lists this long non-coding RNA (577 nucleotides) under Meleagris gallopavo (turkey). RNAcentral describes it as "lncRNA (ENSMGAG00000019896.1)". Lineage: Eukaryota; Metazoa; Chordata; Aves; Galliformes; Phasianidae. The record is from RNAcentral.